CUGUUGCCUAUAUGGCCAGGCGAGACUGCUCCCUCACGGGAGAGGAAGGUGGGGAUGACGCCAGAUCAGCAUGUCCCUCUGAUACCUUGGGCUGCACACAUAAUACAAUGGUCGGUACAACGGGUUGCAAUGCCGUAAGGCGGAGCUAAUCCUUAUAAAACCGACCCCAGUACGGAUUGAGGUCUGCAACCGACCUCAUGAAGCCGGAAUCGCUAGUAAUCCCGGGUCAGCCAAACCGGGGUGAAUACGUUCUCAAGUCUUGUACUCAUUCAGAAAUGUGCUUGGUAGUUAUUCGAUCCAGUCCGUU
This 307-nucleotide ribosomal RNA is filed under the name bacterium. RNAcentral's name for it is "bacterial SSU rRNA". It matches the Rfam family "Bacterial small subunit ribosomal RNA", at positions 1112 to 1533 of the family's 1533-position model. The record is from RNAcentral.